Molecule: long non-coding RNA, 263 nt
Filed under: Equus caballus (horse)
Lineage: Eukaryota; Metazoa; Chordata; Mammalia; Perissodactyla; Equidae
Description: lncRNA (ENSECAG00000052853.1)
Source: RNAcentral
GGCAUUGAGGGGUAUAGACCCAAUCAAUACACUAGGGGCGUCCUGCUCCCCUUCCUUAUUCCCUUAGUCUCUGAGGGUCAGAUAGGAUUGAGGAGUGUUUCCAUCUAAAAGACUCUGCUCCAAACUGGUGACCGAUUCCAACUACAUCCCUAUGUGGUGAGCGGACGGAGGAAGGAGGAGAGGAUCGCUCAACUGCUCCAAUCCAGCUGGCAGUGCCCAUGUGACAAUGAAACACAAGCAGAGGUCUGCUGGGAAAAAUUCUG